CAUGCAAGUCGAGCGGAAACGACACUAACAAUCCUUCGGGUGCGUUAAUGGGCGUCGAGCGGCGGACGGGUGAGUAAUGCCUAGGAAAUUGCCUUGAUGUGGGGGAUAACCAUUGGAAACGAUGGCUAAUACCGCAUAAUGCCUACGGGCCAAAGAGGGGGACCUUCGGGCCUCUCGCGUCAAGAUAUGCCUAGGUGGGAUUAGCUAGUUGGUGAGGUAAUGGCUCACCAAGGCGACGAUCCCUAGCUGGUCUGAGAGGAUGAUCAGCCACACUGGAACUGAGACACGGUCCAGACUCCUACGGGAGGCAGCAGUGGGGAAUAUUGCACAAUGGGCGAAAGCCUGAUGCAGCCAUGCCGCGUGUAUGAAGAAGGCCUUCGGGUUGUAAAGUACUUUCAGUUGUGAGGAAGGGGGUAGCGUUAAUAGCGCUAUCUCUUGACGUUAGCAACAGAAGAAGCACCGGCUAACUCCGUGCCAGCAGCCGCGGUAAUACGGAGGGUGCGAGCGUUAAUCGGAAUUACUGGGCGUAAAGCGCAUGCAGGUGGUUCAUUAAGUCAUAUGUGAAAGCCCCGGGCUCAACCACGGAACUGCCUUUGAAACUGGUGAACUACAGUACUGUUGAGGGGGGUAGAAU
RNAcentral lists this ribosomal RNA (634 nucleotides) under Vibrio gigantis. Its description in RNAcentral is "bacterial SSU rRNA". It matches the Rfam family "Bacterial small subunit ribosomal RNA", at positions 54 to 667 of the family's 1533-position model. Lineage: Bacteria; Pseudomonadati; Pseudomonadota; Gammaproteobacteria; Vibrionales; Vibrionaceae. The record is from RNAcentral.